Molecule: ribosomal RNA, 559 nt
Filed under: Geastrum papinuttii
Lineage: Eukaryota; Fungi; Basidiomycota; Agaricomycetes; Geastrales; Geastraceae
Description: eukaryotic LSU rRNA
Rfam family: 5.8S ribosomal RNA (bases 169-323)
Source: RNAcentral
CAUUACUGAAGACCAUGGGGUUUAUGAGACUGUGUCUUAAUGACAUGUGCUCGACUCCUACUCUUUAUCCACACACACCUGUGCACCAUGGGGACGAAAGUCCCCCAUUUCACAAACACCAAAGUUAUAUGCAUGUCUUAUUACUACUCUACGGAGUAACAUAAUAACAACUUUCAACAACGGAUCUCUUGGCUUUCGCAUCGAUGAAGAACGCAGCGAAUGUGCGAAACGUAAUGUGAAUUGCAGAAUUCAGUGAAUCAUCGAAUCUUUGAACGCAUCUUGCGCUCCUUGGUAUUCCGAGGAGCAUGCCUGUUUGAGUGUCGUGAACUACUCUCAACUUCAAUCUUUUUGUUUGAAGUUGGACUUGGGUGUUGUCAUGGAUCACCAUGACUCGUCCUAAAUGCAUUAGCGAUCUGGCUUGAUCACACGCAAUGUGAUAAGAAAAGCAUUGUUAUAAUUGAGUCAAGACCGCUUCUAACUGUCGCAAGACAAAAGUCAUUUUCAUGUCAUUUGACCUCAAAUCAGGUAGGACUACCCGCUGAACUUAAGCAUAUCAAUA